UGGGGUUUAGCUCAGUGGUAGAGCGCUUGCCUAGCUAGGCAAGCAUAAGGCCCUGGGUUCGGUCCCCAGCUCCAA
RNAcentral lists this transfer RNA (75 nucleotides) under Rattus norvegicus (Norway rat). It matches the Rfam family "tRNA". Rfam says of the family: Transfer RNA (tRNA) molecules are approximately 80 nucleotides in length. Their secondary structure includes four short double-helical elements and three loops (D, anti-codon, and T loops). Further hydrogen bonds mediate the characteristic L-shaped molecular structure. tRNAs have two regions of fundamental functional importance: the anti-codon, which is responsible for specific mRNA codon recognition, and the 3' end, to which the tRNAs corresponding amino acid is attached (by aminoacyl-tRNA synthetases). tRNAs cope with the degeneracy of the genetic code in two manners: having more than one tRNA (with a specific anti-codon) for a particular amino acid; and 'wobble' base-pairing, i.e. permitting non-standard base-pairing at the 3rd anti-codon position. Lineage: Eukaryota; Metazoa; Chordata; Mammalia; Rodentia; Muridae. The record is from Rfam by way of RNAcentral.